GACGAACGCUGGCGGCGUGCUUAACACAUGCAAGUCGAACGGGCCUGUCUUCUUUUUUGGGGGGUGGGUUGAGUGGCGAACGGGUGAGUAUCACGUGAGUAACCUGCCCUUCGGUCCUGGAUAACCGCUUGAAAGGGCGGCUAAUACGGGGUGGUCCGGUUGGUCCGCAUGGGCUGGUCGGGAUAGAUUCACUGUUUUUGGUGUUUCGGCGGGGGAUGGGCUCGCGGCCUAUCAGCUUGUUGGUGGGGUGAUGGCCUACCAAGGCGGUGACGGGUAGCCGACCUGAGAGGGUGGGCGGCCACACUGGGACUGAGAUACGGCCCAGACUCCUGCGGGAGGCAGCAGUGGGGGGUAUUGCACAAUGGGCGGAAGCCUGAUGCAGCGACGUCGCGUGAGGGAUGGAGGCCUUCGGGUUGUGAACCUCUGUUUCCGGUGGUGAAGGCCCUGUCCGUGUGGUGGGGUUGACGGUAGCCGGGGAUGAAGCGCCGGCUAACUACGUG
Molecule: ribosomal RNA, 500 nt
Filed under: uncultured bacterium
Lineage: Bacteria
Description: partial 16S ribosomal RNA
Rfam family: Bacterial small subunit ribosomal RNA
Source: RNAcentral